UAUACACCACCUGCACGCCUUCUAUUAUCCUUUUCGGGUCAGUUGUGCUCACCAACGACACCACCAACAAACGAAAUACUGGGAAAUUCCAGCACAGCGAGUGCCUACAGCAAGGCGGCAGCGGCAACCGACCAGGCAGGAUUACGUCAAUCGGAAAACCGUUCAGUCGCCGACGAACCUCUCACACGAAUUGUGGUAAAAGCGCUUCGAGGUGCCCGCAUACAGAUCGCCAGCCUGAAAAUAUGCUUUGAAAAAAAAAAAAAUCAAGUAGAAAUUAAAUAAAACUAAAGCAAGAAAGUGCAUAUAAUAUAGGCGCUAGGAAAAGAGCAAAAAAUAUUUGUGUAUGUGCUUGUGGGUCGUCUGCAGUACUGUACUGUCAAGUGGAACAACAGUUAUUUUGAGCGAGUUUGACAAAUAUGUGCAGCAGUGUGGUGAAGUGCUAGAAAGUGAAGGCGCAAAGCAAAGAAUUUAAAAAACAAAAUUUCAAUAACAAAAAAACCAAAAAAAAAAAACAAGAAAAAAAAGUGAGACAACCGUGGAAGGAAAUGGCUUAAAAAGUUUUAGACACCAACUUUGCUAAGUCGUGAAUAAUUAAAACAACAACAACUACCCGAAAAACGAAGUCAGUGGGAAAAGGAUUAAAAGUAAGGUAUAUUCCUAACCUAAAUUCCCUAGCACAUUUCGUCGCACACACACGCGCGCGCAUGCCAGCACACCAACACAAACACAUGCAAGCUCGUGUAUGUGUGCCGCGAUGUGGGUAGUGGUGUCGCUAUUGUGUGUUUUGUGCAUUGGCGUUGUUGCAGCUGCAGUUUUGCCAGCAGAAUAGCAGAGAGUUGCAAGCGCUGCUGUUACUGCCGCCGCCGCGGCUGCUGGUGGGUCCAGUCAAAAUACGAGAACUGGUUGCAUGUGUAUUGGUGUAUUGCUGCGAUCUAACGUCGUCGGUGUGCGUGUCUAUAGCUGUCGCUGCUGCUGUUUCGCGUUUUUGUGCCGGCGGGCGGUCGUUCGGUCGGACGGUAGGUCGGUCGAUCGGUCGGUGGGUCGCUUGGUUACUGGAUUGAGCUGUCGCUGUGUGGAUGUCGGUGUGCGCGCUAGCAUUUACAACGUUUCAGUGCUACGGUGUCUGUGUGCGCGUUAACGUGUGCGUGCGCGAAAAUCUGUAUAGUGAAAGAUUUUUUAACUCAAAAAUGGCAAUAUUAGAAAAAUAUUAAGUUGCAUAUUUUAUAAAUUACUUUAAGGUUACUGAAGGUGAGAAAAAUAUGGAAUUCACACAAAAACUAAGAAAAAUGUCAUACAAAAAUGGAAAAAAAUUUUAUUAAAUAAGUGCAAAUAGAGGGAAAUCAGUGAAGAAAUAUACUGCUUGUACUUAUGCACAAACAUAUUUGGAGAAAUUAAUUCAUAAAAUUAAGGGAAAAUUCUAUUUAAGCACAGUGAGGAAAAUCAAGUAACGUUUCCGCUAAUUAUUAAGCUUAAGGGCGUAGAGCUCAAACCAGCAUUCGAUUCUAAAACUGAGUACGGAAAAAUGUGAGCUGCGAGAAAAGAACUAAUUUGCUACAACAACAAAAAAAAGAAAAUGCAAAACAAAAAAAAAAUAAUUGUGCAGUGGUUGGGUAUAAUUUUCUUGCUCUCAGCCAUAUUGCAACGCUCCAACUGAGUCUACGGCAGUAACCGCUGGCAUAGUUGGCAACCAGCAGCGCCUAUUGGCCAUGUGGCUCUAUUCCAAGCGCAUAUAAAAUAUAUUGAGUAACUAUAUAAAAAUAUACCAAGACUUCGCACUAAAUAAUAAACUGCAUUUGUAAAAAAUAUGGAAUGUAAUGGGAAAAUUAAAUAAGCAAAUAAUUGCCAAUACUUAUAGUGCGAAAUUUUCAUCCAAAUUUGAGGCAAGUGAAAAAAACUUCAUAAAUAUGUAAAAAUACAUUCCUUUAGGAAACUUGCAGCGCAAAAACCUGCAAAAUGUGUAUGUGACCAAUUCGCAAACAACCAAGCAAAUCACAUUAAAGGUGGAAAAUUUGUGCAACGAGCGCGUAAAUUCAUUUAACAGUCAGUGACUGACAAACAAAAAGUAUUUACCAGCAACACAACAACAUGUAGAUGUGUGUGUGUGAGUGCUGCGCGUGCAUUUGAAUAAGCGAUAAAAGUUGCAGUAACAUUAAAUUCUGUGUAUGUGUGUAUAUAUAAAAAACGCGGCCUGCAACUAUAACAGAAAAAUAACGUUGCAAGCGGCAUGAAAUUUUAAUAUAAAGUAGUAAAAAACAUAAAAUCAUAUAAAAAAGUUAAAUAUUAAUUAAAUUAUCGCUUCACAGUGAAUUCAAUGCAAAUAAAAAAGUAGAAAAAAAAAAAUAGAAAUAUCAACAAAAAAAAAUGUGCUUUCCAUAUAUUAAAUGUACAUAAAAAUCAUGCAAUAGUAAAAUUGUGAAACAGUUUCAUAAAACGAAAAUAAUUGUAAGCUAUCGCUACUGUAUUUAAAAAUCCAAAUGCAAAACAAAAAUACCGAAAGAGGAAUAAAAAAAUGGGCAAAAAUAUGUUUAUUUAGAUAAUAAAUAAAAUGUCAAUAUUUAGCGCAUAUGGCUAAAAAUAAUUACCAAAAAAAAAAUAAAUAUACUUGGUAAGCUCAAAGUGUAACGAAACUAAUUAAAUUACUAUAAAAUCUUCCGCUAAUUACCAAAAUAACAUCACAUAAAACGCAAAGUUGUGAAAAAAUUCCAUUGAACGCUUCAAAAAUUUGGGUGCAAAACAGAUGAGUAAAAACACUCUUCAAACCAAUUAAGCGAUAAAGUUUUAAAGAGUGAAAAAAAGUAAAUUGUGUUAGAAUAAAAAAAAAAGAUUUAAUAAUAAGAACUCUAUAAACCAACAACAAAUUCAUGCUUAACAUGAAACAAAUUAUACUUUAAAAAUUAAUAUAAAAUAUAAACAAAAAUUGAACGCAAUAAAAUAAAAACAAAACACCAAGCAGAACAUGCACAGGGCGACCAGUUGGCUACCCAAGUGCCAACACGCAACAAACUACAAAAACAAUAGUUUUAUAAAGCGUAAAAAUUAACUUCGUUAAAAGCAUUGCCGCAGCACAGGAAUGGGAGUGGCGCAGCCAAAAGCAUUGCAAAUAUGCGCAACUUGCACAAAUCUACAUCUCAGAUUGUUGGACAUUGCGUAUGAGCAAUAAUCGUCCGCAUUCUAAUGCCCAGCUGCUUCAAAGACACCAGGAGAGUAAUUGAGAUAUUCGUUAAUACUUUGCCGUGGCAGUGUUAGAUAAAUUUAAAGAUACCAAACUAGGCUACAUUGGAAUUAGCGUGAAAUGCCACAGAGACACAACGAGGCAGAAGCGAUGGCCUGGCCACUCAGUCUAACUAUACUGAACCAGUUAAUGGCCGCGUUGCUGUUGAGGCAGUUGACGAGUGAAUUUAUUAAAAAUGCAUGGCAAGUCAUAACGGCGCCCAUGGCGGCUACAACAACAAGCUUAACAAGGCGAAGUACUUGCUUGAAAAGGCAGCAAAUGCAGAGAUAAGUCAGAAUAUCUUUAAAAAAUUGAAAAAAAAAAAAAAAAAUAUAAAAAUAUAAAAAAUUGGUAAAGAAAAAUCUACAACAACAUAUACGAAGUUCUUAAGUAAUGAUUUAAAAUAAUAAAAAAAAAAUACUAAGUUUAACAGUAAGCAACGAAUUACUUUGCCAAGCCAAGUCAGCAAUUACUGUACGUUCAAAAAAAAACUUCUACGUUUAAAGUUCAAUGACAACUGAAAUGAACGCGGAAACCUACUAAAAUUGCGCAUUUGUACAAAGGAAAAUUCCCCAGUUCAAUGCUUGCAUCUGCUGUACAUUAAAGAAUUUCAUAAAUGCUAGAAAAUGCUAAGAACAUAGCUAAACAUGAGUGUCCAGCGCGACUACCAAACGAGAAACAUUACAAAAAAUUGUAAUUCUGAUUGGGAUAACAAAAAAUAUUAAAUAAAAAUAACAACAACAUAAGAUAAUAAAAUAUAAUAACAACAAAAUAAUUAAAAAUAUAUAUGAAAAAAACAUAUUAAGAAUUCAAAGCAUAAAAGUAAUAAAGCUACCACAACAAGAAAAAAUCAAACAACGAACAAAAAUACGAUGAAAAAUAUCAAAUAACAGAACGACUAAAAGCAGCUGCCAAAAAAGUCAAACAAAAGCAACACAACAACAAGAACAAAACAAAUAACAACUUCUUCUAUAAUCGACUAAUCAAAUAUUCCAGUAGACCAGCAAAAAACAUACAAGCAAAUAGCAUACAAAGCAAAGCACAAGCGAAGCAAAAUCGAACUAAUCCAAAAUAGAAACGAAAAAAUACGCAACGAGACGACAGCAUAAACCAAAAAAUCCAUCAAGAUGAGUGAUGACCAAACAACACCCAAUGAUGAUAAAGGUAAGCCAAAGUGUGCCAAAAAUGUAAUAAAGAUAACACACUGCCACCAGUGCAGCAGGUUCAAGUAGGCAAAGCCACUAGAUGGGAGCAAAAAAUGCCGAGGUAUUCAUGUGAAAAAUGACAUAGAAAGCCCGGCGUGUAAUGAUAGGUCAACUGGGAUCAGUUGUGUCGGUAAGUGAGGUCAGAAUGUGGUCAAAAGAGGAAGUUAAAUCGCAAGGUAGCACAUUUUUGGAUACAAGGGGACAUGAAAAUAUUUGCGGAAAAG
This is a long non-coding RNA of Anastrepha ludens (Mexican fruit fly), 4640 nucleotides long. RefSeq lists it as uncharacterized. The transcript has 3 exons. Lineage: Eukaryota; Metazoa; Arthropoda; Insecta; Diptera; Tephritidae. The record is from RefSeq and is a predicted model, not a curated record.